RNAcentral lists this ribosomal RNA (1343 nucleotides) under uncultured bacterium. RNAcentral's name for it is "16S ribosomal RNA". It matches the Rfam family "Bacterial small subunit ribosomal RNA", at positions 28 to 1378 of the family's 1533-position model. The record is from RNAcentral.
GACGAACGCUGGCGGCGUGCUUAACACAUGCAAGUCGAACGGAAAGGCCCUGCUUUUGUGGGGUGCUCGAGUGGCGAACGGGUGAGUAACACGUGAGUAACCUGCCCUUGACUUUGGGAUAACUUCAGGAAACUGGGGCUAAUACCGGAUAGGAGCUCCUGCUGCAUGGUGGGGGUUGGAAAGUUUCGGCGGUUGGGGAUGGACUCGCGGCUUAUCAGCUUGUUGGUGGGGUAGUGGCUUACCAAGGCUUUGACGGGUAGCCGGCCUGAGAGGGUGACCGGCCACAUUGGGACUGAGAUACGGCCCAGACUCCUACGGGAGGCAGCAGUGGGGAAUAUUGCACAAUGGGCGGAAACCUGAUGCAGCAACGCCGCGUGCGGGAUGACGGCCUUCGGGUUGUAAACCGCUUUCGCCUGUGACGAAGCGUGAGUGACGGUAAUGGGUAAAGAAGCACCGGCUAACUACGUGCCAGCAGCCGCGGUGACACGUAGGGUGCGAGCGUUGUCCGGAUUUAUUGGGCGUAAAGGGCUCGUAGGUGGUUGAUCGCGUCGGAAGUGUAAUCUUGGGGCUUAACCCUGAGCGUGCUUUCGAUACGGGUUGACUUGAGGAAGGUAGGGGAGAAUGGAAUUCCUGGUGGAGCGGUGGAAUGCGCAGAUAUCAGGAGGAACACCAGUGGCGAAGGCGGUUCUCUGGGCCUUUCCUGACGCUGAGGAGCGAAAGCGUGGGGAGCGAACAGGCUUAGAUACCCUGGUAGUCCACGCUGUAAACGGUGGGUACUAGGUGUGGGGUCCAUUCCACGGGUUCCGUGCCGUAGCUAACGCUUUAAGUACCCCGCCUGGGGAGUACGGCCGCAAGGCUAAAACUCAAAGGAAUUGACGGGGCCCCGCACAAGCGGCGGAGCAUGCGGAUUAAUUCGAUGCAACGCGUAGAACCUUACCUGGGUUUGACAUGGAUCGGGAGUGCUCAGAGAUGGGUGUGCCUCUUUUGGGGUCGGUUCACAGGUGGUGCAUGGCUGUCGUCAGCUCGUGUCGUGAGAUGUUGGGUUAAGUCCCGCAACGAGCGCAACCCUUGUUCACUGUUGCCAGCACGUUAUGGUGGGGACUCAGUGGAGACCGCCGGGGUCAACUCGGAGGAAGGUGGGGAUGACGUCAAGUCAUCAUGCCCCUUAUGUCCAGGGCUUCACGCAUGCUACAAUGGCUGGUACAGAGAGUGGCGAGCCUGUGAGGGUGAGCGAAUCUCGGAAAGCCGGUCUCAGUUCGGAUUGGGGUCUGCAACUCGACCUCAUGAAGUCGGAGUCGCUAGUAAUCGCAGAUCAGCAACGCUGCGGUGAAUACGUUCCCGGG